CGCGUGUUUCUUCGACCCAAACGAUCGAAUGAAAUAAAAAGCAGUAAAAGAUAGGAGGGAAACUAGUUUAGACGGACAGGUUUAUUCGUUCAAAGUGUUCAUCGAGGAAGGAACUUGGCAAGUUGAAAUGUUAACAGGUUCUAUAGGAUGACUUCUUUUCUUGGAAGAGAAAAAUCUCGUUAUGUUGGAAGCAAAUGUUACCACGAUGAAAUACAUGGCCGUACAAGAGAACGUUAACGAACAAAAUGGCUCGCUUUUAGCGGGGUAAAUUGGCAGAUAUAGGGAUGUAAAACCAAAGCCCCUCAAGGCCCGAAACAACAAAGGAGGAAUCACUAAAGGAAGUAAUAGAGUAAAUUCUACGUAAUAAUUAUACUCUAUUAAAUUAGCAGAGAAUGUUACAUCAAAUUGUAUAAAAAUAUAUUUUUUGAUGUUAUCAGUUUUAAAUAGAGUAGACGACAUUGCUUUAUUGUAAAAAAUAUCUUUAUUACAAAAAAAUACCAACCACGAAGAUAUAUUCUCAUCAAGCAGCUAGAGAACAAAGUAAUUAAGCGAAACAAGAGAUCAGAAUACUAAGCUAAAGGCAAAGAGGUAGCCACUUCCAAAAACUUAAUAUUCCUAAAGAAGACUUUAAUCUUGACACGAAUAUAACAUUUUAAUCAGAAAAAUGACUGUAAAUUAAGAUUUGUAAUUUUUAGUAAUGUCUGUUAGCCAUCAUGGAUACGUCAAAAUCGAAUAGACUUGCGGGCAACUCGUUCGAGGAUUUCAUUAGUUUUAAAAGCAAGCGUCAACUGCAAUCUGACUAUUGAAGGUUAUCAUUUAAUAGGGAAAUAAAAUUUUCCCUAACGCUGAAUGGAAGAGUUUCAAAGUACCUUUGGGUCGUUAAAGAAUCGCGAUUCGUCCGUAUUCUUAUUAUUCCGAAUUAAUGACGGCGCUUCGGAUGGCCAUUGACCUACAACGCACCUCUUUAUCCCCAGCUGUAUAUCCAAGAGGCCUUAACAGGCAUGGAAAUUACAACAAGAAACAACUACAGAAUUCCUGCAUCACUGUUCGAUGGACAUUACGGAAUAUAAUCAAUCGAAAUUGCUCGACGGUCGAUAGUCACUCCUUACAAAGGAGUAGUUUCAGAGGUGUGAUCAAAGAGAGAGGAGGUAGUUAACGCAUGCAUUAAUAUUAAUCGAGAGGUUGACACAAGCAGUCUGCCGUGACCUCUCGAGCAAUUUCCGGCGUGGGGGUGAGAAAUAGGAAGGGACGAGGUCGCUAAAGAUUUGAAAAGCCACCCCCAGAAAACCCACGCAUAUUCCUAAGGUCAGAUAGAAUGCACGUAUUAACCGUUUCUGGAACGUUGAUUUCUCCAGGCAUUUGAGAAUUUGGCGAAUUUCCAUGGAAAGGCGAGGAGGAAGCAUGAUUUUGAAUAGGGGAUUAAUAUCCGAAGGCAUCGAAGAAACUGGAAUCUACAAGAUUUUUAUUGAAACUCGAGGAAAAGUUUAAUUUUGUAUGCGUUAGGAAUAAUUCGGAAAAUCGAAUAUAUAUUGUAAAAGGGAGGGCAAGCAGAAUGUUAGAAAAUCGCCAUUUUUCACAUCGCCUGGAAUUGAAAAAUUCAUGCACAACCUUAAGAGUGUGUCUCCCCAAGGAAGAAGAAACGUUCUUACCGUUUCCCUGAGAAACGAUGGAUAAGUUGUUAAAAAUUAAAUUCAAAUAUGCGAAUAUGACAGUAAUCGUACUUACCUAAGCGUUAUAUUUCAUCUUGUUCAUUUUCAGAUAUUGAACGAUUUUCAAAAAGAUGAACGAGGAGAGUCAGUUGAUAAAUCGACUAAAGUUAUCGAUGAUAAAAUGACUAAAGUUUUGAAUCGACCAAAACCCAAGUACAUUCUUGCGAACACAUGUGGAUGCAAAGUCGUUGUUCACGUUGUUGGUUGCUGUUCGCGUGUAACAACGAUAUUACGGUAUUUUGGAUUCGCAAUUUGCAAUUGAUUUAGUUGUCAAUUUUCCCAUUCUAACUACUUUCAAGACGGUUUAGUAUCUUAAACAAAAGGACAAAAUAUAACGCUUAGGUGAGCUCCAUCACUAUCAUAUCCACGUGUUUCGAUUCAUUUUUCACAACUUUCUCAUCGUUUCUUCAGAAAGCGACAUCUUUUGUUCCUUGGGAGACAGCUUUGAAGAUACUGCAUGAAUUUCUCAACCACAGUUGGCCAUUUUUUAACAUUUUUCUUUAAUGGAAACGUUUCAUUGAGAAACACGAAGAUAGAAAAACCUGAAAAUGAUAAAAUGCGGGCGUUGUCAAUUCUCUUCUUUUCAACGAGAUGAAUAUUCCAAUAUUUACCCGUUUCAACACCUCCGACGUCCUUUGAAUAAACGUUUCGCGAAUCCUUCGGGAUGAAGAAACUCCGGUGCACCCAUGGGAUAUUUAAUAUCAUGAAUAUUUUUUUUUUUUUCGCUCCGUGCAAAAAUGCUACUCUGCAUGCCACAUACUUGAGCAGCCAUGCGUGUAAAAUAAUCGAAUGAAAUUUUUCUAAAGUUUGCUCUUGAAAAUUGCAGGAAAUUUGAGUGGAAGAAUAGUUGUCGAGUGGUUUGAAGAGAAUGAAGUGGUUUAAGCGUGACUCAUUUCUAUGAGGAAAUACAUUAUAUUAAAGGAGUUAUUUUCUGUGAGGUGUAAUAAUAUUUAUAUAUCUAUUUGUAAAUUGAUCGUCUUAUUAGAUUAAAUAUAUUAUUUAAUUAAAAUCCUAUUGGUUAAGAGGAAUUGAUUAUAGAUAGCAUAAAAUAAAACUAAUAAAUACUAGAAAUUGUAUAAAACAAAUUAAGUAACGCAAGAUGAAGAUUGACAAAAUUCGAGAUUUUACUGGCUAAGGGGAAUUGAUUGUAAAUAACAUAAAGAAAAAUGAAAUAGUAAUUAUAUUAUAAAUCGAGAUGCGAUAAAAAAUACUAUAAAUUCUGUGCAACAGAUUAAUUAACGUCACGUAAGAUGAAUAUUUAAAGAAAUCUCUAAUUCGAUAGAUUUCUCGCCUGGCAAACGAGAGGAUUACUGAUGAUUUUCAAGAAACGACUACUUAACGAACAAUAUCCAGCUGAAACCUAAAUAAUGCAUCCCCCUUGCUAAAUCCAAUUCCAUCCGUACGGGUCACACGGUUCCCGGCUAGCGUGGAUUCCCCGCGAGCCGUGAAUCCGAAUUCCCUUUCUCCGUUUGUCCACCUGAUGCACUGUACGGUUUCACCGGUUUCGUUGAAACCCUUUCGACGCAACAAGUUUGCCAUUGUUCCGUGAACCACGAGUGAAAAGCUACCGGAAAUGGACCAGCAACUUUGCUUCCUUUCAAACACCUCGCGCUUUCCCACACUUUUUCUUUUGUUCCUCGCUGAGACGAGGUGCUGAAGCUAUUCAAUUUGACGACAGAAUCGCGUAGAUUUCUCGAUAUUUAACACUAACUUCACCGGAUCAUAUGGCCGGUUUCAAAAUUUGAUUGAAAAUUGUACGUGCAUUGUUAUAUCUCUAACUUUGUUAUCGUUAUAUCUCAAUAAUUAAAGAGUCUUAAACAAUAUUCCAUAAAAUGAUCGAACAUUAUAUGCAACUUUAACGGCAGGCGGAAUGUUAGUAAAAUAGACAAUAUAAUAGCGUUCUAUAUGUCAUUCAGAAAAUUCCACGAAAUUAAUUGUUCGAAGCAUGUGUAGAUUUCUUUUUAUAUAAAAAUUUGCAAAAUGCGUAGCGAAUAUCAGCGAGCAAAUAAAGUUGUAGUUUGUCUUCAUAUUGUAUUACAUAUAGUUGAUCGCAUACUACGAUAGAUUUACUUUGUAAAUAAAAAUAAUUGAAUACAAAUUCGUAGUUGCUGUCUGUAUCAUGAAUCGUUGUAUCUUCACUUUAUAAGUUACAAUAAAACAAAUUAAAAGUA
This is a long non-coding RNA of Bombus terrestris (buff-tailed bumblebee), 3880 nucleotides long. RefSeq lists it as uncharacterized. NCBI's taxonomy places the organism in Eukaryota, Metazoa, Arthropoda, Insecta, Hymenoptera, Apidae. The record is from RefSeq and is a predicted model, not a curated record. The transcript is spliced from 5 exons.